Molecule: ribosomal RNA, 255 nt
Filed under: uncultured prokaryote
Description: partial 16S ribosomal RNA
Rfam family: Bacterial small subunit ribosomal RNA
Source: RNAcentral
UAAUACGGGGGGAGCAAGCGUUGUUCGGAUUUACUGGGCGUAAAGGGCGCGUAGGCGGCCACCGCAAGUCGACUGUGAAAUCUCCGGGCUUAACCCGGAAAGGUCAGCCGAUACUGCGGGGCUAGAGUGCAGAAGGGGCAACUGGAAUUCUCGGUGUAGCGGUGAAAUGCGUAGAUAUCGAGAGGAACACCUGCGGCGGAGGCGGGUUGCUGGGCUGACACUGACGCUGAGGCGCGAAAGCUAGGGGAGCGAACG